CCUCUGCCUCGUAACUACAACUGUUCUCUGAUGACAUUUGUAAUCAUCCUUCCACUCCAGCAACCUGUGCAUGAGAUCCAACUCUUGAGAUGAGAUUACAUUUAUGAUCUCUUUAUGAACUUGAAGAAUCAAAGUUUUGGUGGAAUGUACUGCUGUAGCGGGACCCUCAGCGAUCACAGCCAGCCUCAUGGUGACACUGUAGCACCGCUGUAGAGGCAAAAGCAUGAAGCAGCCAAAGAGCGGGUCACCGAAUGACACAGCCUCAUACUGCACCAGCAGAGCCGAGUAUAGGUCAUGACAGACAUGAGUUCAUGUGCCAGAUAUUCACUGCCAGGCAGCAGCCAGGACACUAGAGCCAGCGAUACUUGGUGAAACAAGGUGGCGUGUUUGGCCAACUCUGGGUCAACUGGAAC
Molecule: long non-coding RNA, 413 nt
Organism: Cyprinus carpio carpio
Lineage: Eukaryota; Metazoa; Chordata; Actinopteri; Cypriniformes; Cyprinidae
Source: Ensembl